GAGGCCCGGGCAGGGGCUCGCUGGGGGAACCGAUGCGGGGAAUACGUGCGUGAGGACACGUGAGGGCCGUGCCGGCCAGAGCCCCAGCGUGCGUGGCCUUGCGUGCGUGUACACGCACAUGUGUCCAGGUGCCUACGCAGGUGCCUGACCCUGGGCAAGUUGUUCCGUCACGCGGACCUCAGUUUUCUCAUCUGUCCGACGAAGGGAUCUUUCCGUCUCUGGCUGUUGGUGUUCCUUUAUCCACGACUGCUGAGCACGUUGGGUCCUCUCUUUAGAGCCAUCUCUGCUUAUUGAACAGAGCCAGGGAUUCCAGGCCUUUGAAUUGAUGCGGGGGAUGAGAAAACUGAGGCUUGGAAAGAUGGCAGAGCCAGAAUACUGUCCCCGGUGGUUGGACACCAAAGUCACUCAUUUUAAGCACUUAGGACAAGUGACUGAUGGACUGACUGAGUAAAGAAGGUUACCUUAGCAAGAAUGCUUGUCUGUUGGCGAGAGCACAUCUGGAGUUCUGAAUUGAGAUGCAGAUCCUGUGUAUAAGAAGGACAUAGGAAGAGCUGGAUGUCAGAGGGGGAGAAGUGGAGACUCCCACACCACGUUGUAGGAAGAACCUGCCUCAUGUUCGGGGUCUGCCUUCUCUUUCUAGGUAGAGGUAUCUAAAGAAACAGCCUGGCAUUGCCGUGUCACCACUGAGCAAGAGACCCCCUUCUCAUUAAGGAAUUUGGAGUGAAAUGACACAGCCCAUGAAAAAGUUCUCUGUGGAGUUAUCAGCAUUUUUUCAAAUAAAUUAUUUAUAUUUUUGGCACUAAAAUAGAUUUAGCAUGUCCUAGGAGUAUUGAUUGGCUUGGGCUGGAUUCUGUGUGGAGGCCCAGAGGGAGGAAAAGUCCUGGUUUUAAUGGAAGAAACAUCCCAGGCACAUGGGGGGAAAACCCAAAAACAAAAGCAGAGAAGCAUAAUGUACCCAGCCCUCCUCAAAGCACAUGGGACUGUGCACCAAACCGUGCACAGUUCUGGUGCUCAAGCAAGGUUGAAACAUAACCCAAACAUUGGCGAGCCCACAGGCCAACUCCCUACAUUUCUGGAAUGGUUUUGCUGAGAACAAGAAAUCCAUUUCAGCCACCAGAAUUCUCUUUAUUAUUUCCCACCCAGGCUGCCUCUUCUAUCUUGUAAUGGACAGGACCCAUCCCAUUCUGAGUGCAGCUCGGUGGUCUGAGCACAGAUGGAGGCCCACUUCCCUUCCUCUCCAGAACUUUUCAGGGAGGGUCCUGUAUUUAUUUUGAAAAAAGAUUUUGAGUCACUGUUGGGGAGGGUGACACCCAAGGGUAUGCUCAGCUGAAGGCUGUGAUAAAAGAUGCCCCCAGAACUGCUAUGUGUAGGAUAAGUAGGGAAAUUUGUGUUGCUUCUGAGAAAGAGGAGUAAGGAGAGGAAAAAAAGAAGUGAGGGGCAGCCAAGAGGUAGAAGAGACUGGCAGGGUUGGGGAGGGGGGUGAUCCUGACUCCUGAAAGGCUUAAUAUGUUAUUAAAAUAACCGAAUGGUUUGUGGGCAUGGCCUUGGGGUGAACGUGCCAGAGAAGGGGCUGUGUGUUGUACCUGCAUCAGAAUAGGAGAGGCCAGAGCCUGUGGCUGGGCUGCAGGAACUGCAAGAGAAGGUCUGAGCAUGAGUUAUGCUUGUUUCCUUGUUUAUUUCUCCUGUUGAACUUGAACUCCUUCCUUGGGGGGCUCUAUCUUACUUGUCUUAUGUAUUUUCAGUGGCAAUAUACUGCCUAAAACAGAGAAGGCCCUCAAUCAACACUGUUCAAAGGAAAGAAAGACAGAAGGAUAGACCUUUGCAGUAGAAUCUUUUAAUUUUGCAAGUAAUAAAGGAUAAAAGGUAAUUGAGAAUGCCUCAGAAACAGCGAAGUCCCAACAUUGAUUUCUUGUAAUCUACAGAUUCAUUCAAAGGAAAAUGAAAUCAAUUAAACUUUUCUUUAAAUCUUGUCUUCCUUAUCUUUGCAAGUCUAGUUCAGAUGGAUUGGUCUAGGUGCACCUGCUCCAUGUCUCUUCUGUGCUCCUAAUUGGGCAUCAUGGUACAUGAUCUAGAAUGAUGGGAAAUUAGAAUUGAGAAGAUGCAUUAGAAGUCAUUUAGAGAUAUUCUGAUCCCUGAACCUUAGCAUUAACCAUAACUCUGACAUUUAAGGGACCUUAAAUGUCAUUUAACAUUUUGUGUCUUUAGGGUUUGUUUGUUUGUUUUAUAAAAUGUCUUUUACUUUAAAAUGAGGCUUUCCUGGGUCUGUCAACAUAGAUGUGUGUUCCACAAAGGAAUAAACCUAAGUUAAGAGCAUGAAACAUGAUCAGUAUAAAAUCUGUGCUGAAAAAUGCUUUGCAAAUAUUUUACAAGAAAUAAAUGUUACUAUUUCAAACCACA
Macaca mulatta (Rhesus monkey) is the source of this 2397-nucleotide non-coding RNA. The record is from RefSeq and is a predicted model, not a curated record. Lineage: Eukaryota; Metazoa; Chordata; Mammalia; Primates; Cercopithecidae.